UACGUAGGGGGCAAGCGUUGUCCGGAAUCAUUGGGCGUAAAGAGCGUGUAGGCGGCCAGAUAAGUCCGCUGUGAAAUCUCGAGGCUCAACUUCGAGCUGUCGGUGGAAACUGUCUGGCUAAAGUCCGGAAGAGGAGAAUGGAAUUCCUGGUGUAGCGGUGAAAUGCGCAGAUAUCAGGAAGAACACCCGUGGCGAAGGCGGUUCUCUGGGACGGUACUGACGCUGAGACGCGAAAGCGUGGGGAGCAAACAGG
RNAcentral lists this ribosomal RNA (253 nucleotides) under uncultured bacterium. Its description in RNAcentral is "partial 16S ribosomal RNA". It matches the Rfam family "Bacterial small subunit ribosomal RNA", at positions 524 to 776 of the family's 1533-position model. The record is from RNAcentral.